UACGUAGGGUCCGAGCGUUGUCCGGAAUUAUUGGGCGUAAAGGGCUCGUAGGCGGUCCGUCACGUCGGGAGUGAAAACUCAGGGCUCAACCCUGAGCGUGCUUCCGAUACGGGCGGACUAGAGGUAUGCAGGGGAGAACGGAAUUCCUGGUGUAGCGGUGGAAUGCGGCAGAGUAUCAGGAGGAACACCGGUGGCGAAGGCGGUUCUCUGGGCAUUACCUGACGCUGAGGAGCGAAAGCAUGGGGAGCGAACAGG
Molecule: ribosomal RNA, 255 nt
Filed under: uncultured bacterium
Lineage: Bacteria
Description: partial 16S ribosomal RNA
Rfam family: Bacterial small subunit ribosomal RNA
Source: RNAcentral